This 86-nucleotide small RNA is filed under the name Saimiri boliviensis boliviensis (Bolivian squirrel monkey). RNAcentral describes it as "Y RNA (ENSSBOG00000010254.1)". Lineage: Eukaryota; Metazoa; Chordata; Mammalia; Primates; Cebidae. The record is from RNAcentral.
AGCUGUGCAGUAGUGUUCACAACAAAUCAAAACCUGUUACAGAUUUCUUUGUGCUGUCUGUACUCCCACUGCUUCAUUUGAUUAAU